GUGACUGCGUACCUUUUGUAUAAUGGGUCAGCGACUUAUAUUCUGUAGCAAGGUUAACCGAAUAGGGGAGCCGGAGGGAAACCGAGUCUUAAUUGGGCGUUAAGUUGCAGGGUAUAGACCCGAAACCCGGUGAUCUAGCCAUGGGCAGGUUGAAGGUUGGGUAACACUAACUGGAGGACCGAACCGACUAAUGUUGAAAAAUUAGCGGAUGACCUGUGGCUGGGGGUGAAAGGCCAAUCAAACCGGGAGAUAGCUGGUUCUCCCCGAAAGCUAUUUAGGUAGCGCCUCGUGAAUUCAUCUCCGGGGGUAGAGCACUGUUUCGGCUAGGGGGCCAUCCCGGCUUACCAACCCGAUGCAAACUGCGAAUACCGGAGAAUGUUAUCACGGGAGACACACGGCGGGUGCUAACGUCCGUCGUGAAGAGGGAAACAACCCAGACCGCCAGCUAAGGUCCCAAAGUCAUGGUUAAGUGGGAAACGAUGUGGGAAGGCCCAGACAGCCAGGAUGUUGGCUUAGAAGCAGCCAUCAUUUAAAGAAAGCGUAAUAGCUCACUGGUCGAGUCGGCCUGCGCGGAAGAUGUAACGGGGCUAAACCAUGCACCGAAGCUGCGGCAGCGACGUUUAUGCGUUGUUGGGUAGGGGAGCGUUCUGUAAGCCUGCGAAGGUGGCCUGUGAGGGUUGCUGGAGGUAUCAGAAGUGCGAAUGCUGACAUAAGUAACGAUAAAGCGGGUGAAAAGCCCGCUCGCCGG
This 748-nucleotide ribosomal RNA is filed under the name Salmonella enterica subsp. enterica serovar Bovismorbificans. RNAcentral's name for it is "partial 23S ribosomal RNA". It matches the Rfam family "Bacterial large subunit ribosomal RNA", at positions 593 to 1340 of the family's 2925-position model. The record is from RNAcentral. Lineage: Bacteria; Pseudomonadati; Pseudomonadota; Gammaproteobacteria; Enterobacterales; Enterobacteriaceae.